AUUGCAAUGAUGAGGUAAGACACCUUAUGGUGUAAUUAGGGCAGUGGACAAGUUCUAUCUUGCCGUGAUCCCAAUUUUUAACGACUUCUCCUUCCACUGAGCUCC
Molecule: small nucleolar RNA, 105 nt
Organism: Cynara cardunculus var. scolymus (artichoke)
Lineage: Eukaryota; Viridiplantae; Streptophyta; Magnoliopsida; Asterales; Asteraceae
Product: small nucleolar RNA Z152/R70/R12
Exons: 1
Source: RefSeq, a predicted model, not a curated record